This 446-nucleotide ribosomal RNA is filed under the name uncultured bacterium. RNAcentral describes it as "partial 16S ribosomal RNA". It matches the Rfam family "Bacterial small subunit ribosomal RNA", at positions 338 to 795 of the family's 1533-position model. The record is from RNAcentral.
CCUACGGGAGGCAGCAGUCGAGAAUCAUUCACAAUGGGGGAAACCCUGAUGGUGCGACGCCGCGUGGGGGAAUGAAGGUCUUCGGAUUGUACACCCCUGUCAUGUGGGAGCAAAUUAAAAAGAUAGUACCACAAGAGGAAGAGACGGCUAACUCUGUGCAAGCAGCCGCGGUAAUACAGAGGUCUCAAGCGUUGUUCGGAAUCACUGGGCGUAAAGCGUGCGUAGGCUGUUUCGUAAGUCGUGUGUGAAAGGCGCGGGCUCAACCCGCGGAAGGCACAUGAUACUGCGUGACUAGAGUAAUGGAGGGGGAACCGGAAGUCUCAGUGUAGCAGGGAAAUGCGUAGAUAUCGAGAGGAACACUCGUGGCGAAGGCGGGUUCCUGGACAUUAACUGACGCUGAGGCACGAAGGCCAGGGGAGCGAAAGGGAUUAGAUACCCGGGUAGUC